This 445-nucleotide ribosomal RNA is filed under the name uncultured bacterium. RNAcentral describes it as "partial 16S ribosomal RNA". It matches the Rfam family "Bacterial small subunit ribosomal RNA", at positions 354 to 796 of the family's 1533-position model. The record is from RNAcentral.
GUGAGGAAUAUUGCGCAAUGGAGGCAACUCUGACGCAGCCAUGCCGCGUGCAGGAAGAAGGCGCUACGCGUUGUAAACUGCUUUUAACCGGGAAGAAACCCCAGGACGUGUCCUGGGUUGACGGUACCGGAGGAAUAAGCACCGGCUAACUUCGUGCCAGCAGCCGCGGUAAUACGAAGGGUGCAAGCGUUAUCCGGAUUCAUUGGGUUUAAAGGGUGCGUAGGCGGAGCGUUAAGUCAGUGGUGAAAUCCUGCAGCUUAACUGUAGACUUGCCAUUGAUACUGGCGCUCUUGAGUGCGCUUGAAGUGGGCGGAAUGUGCCGUGUAGCGGUGAAAUGCUUAGAUAUGGCACAGAACACCAAUUGCGAAGGCAGCUCACUAAGGCGAUACUGACGCUGAGGCACGAAAGCGUGGGGAUCGAACAUGAUUAGAAACCCUUGUAGUCC